RNAcentral lists this ribosomal RNA (470 nucleotides) under uncultured bacterium. Its description in RNAcentral is "bacterial SSU rRNA". It matches the Rfam family "Bacterial small subunit ribosomal RNA", at positions 31 to 507 of the family's 1533-position model. The record is from RNAcentral.
AGUAGAACGCUGGCGGCGUGCUUAACACAUGCAAGUCGAACGAGAACGGAUUAUAGCUUGCUAUAAUUGUCAGCUAAGUGGCGCACGGGUGAGUAAUGUAUAGGUAAUAUGCCUCUUACUAAGGGAUAACAAAUGGAAACGUUUGCUAAUACCUUAUACUCCUUAUUAACAGAAGUUAAUAAGGGAAAGAUUUAUUGGUAAGAGAUUAGCCUGUAUUGUAUCAGUUAGUUGGUGGGGUAAUGGCUUACCAAGACUAUGACACAUAACUGGUUUGAGAGGAUGAUCAGUCACACUGGAACUGAGACACGGUCCAGACUCCUACGGGAGGCAGCAGGUGGGGAAUAUUGCACAAUGGACGAAAGUCUGAUGCAGCAACGCCGCGUGGAGGAUGACACAUUUCGGUGCGUAAACUCCUUUUAUAUGAGAAGAUAAUGACGGUAUUAUAUGAAUAAGCACCGGCUAACUCCGUG